UUAAUUACACAAAAUGAAAAUAUGUUUGUUGAUAUUAUAAAAUUUUACAAAAACCAAAUCUUUGCAAUAACAUACUAAAACCCAAACAUGGGGAAAAAGAAAAACUACAGAACCCACUCCUUCCAUUCCCCAUCUAUUUAUUUCUCAAACUUCUACCGUUCACACAUUUAACCAAACACACAAACUUUAAACCUUUUUAUUAUUUCAUCCCAUUCUACACCUUCUCUUAGGGUUUUGCACCCUCUACCACUUCACCAGCGUAGCUGCAGCACUUGUGCCCACAUCGACCAUAUCGGCAACCUCUGCCGUAGCCACCACGGCCACCACCAUAGCCUCCACGGCCACCGUAAUGACCACGACCAUACCCACCACGACCACCGCCAUAGCCUCUGUCGUACCCACCGCCAUAGCCUCUGUCGUACCCUCCACCAUAGCCUCUGUCGUACCCUCCACCAUAGCCUCUGUCGUACCCACCUCUUCCAUACUUGGCAUCCUCUACGCCAUUGGUUUCCACUGUGACCUCUGCAAUGUUAUAUUUAAAAUUAAUCCUUAACUUUACGAAAAUGUUAUAUAAAAUCAAAAUCUGUAUAUAAAGAUGUUAAAUAAUGAGUAUAUAUAUUUUACAUGAGUUUUUUCUUAAUAUUCGUGUCUGUUCGGAGUUAGUUUAUGUGUACCUAAACUAAGUUUACCGAACAAAUUUGGAUGUGAAAGGAACAAGCACAAAGAAUAUUAAAUCAUCAAUAGAAGACUACUAUGCAUUCAACUUCUUAGAUGACUUAAAAUUUAUUAUAACAUAAAACUCACCGUUGUCAGUCUUGGAGGAGGUCUCCGCAAGGUCCCUUGCAGCCACUUCAGAGGAGAGGAGAAGAACGAAGGCGAGAAGAAGGCCAAGGAAAACAAAGGCUUUGGAACUCAUAUUUGUGUGUAUUGUAAGAGAUUGGUUUUGGGGGAGAGGGAUGAGAAAGAUUUGCAUUCUUAUGGAGGUAUUUAUAGGUCCAUAAAAGGGAAAGUGAGAUGAGAAUUGAGACAAUGGCAAUGGCAAUUAAAGACUGGCCCAUAAUUUGGUUGGGUGUUAGAUGAACUGAUUGAGAAGUAUUUUGAAAUGAAGAAGAAAAUUUGAGUCAGCUCUCUUCAAAAAUCUUUAUCUUUUAAAUGAUUUGUAAUCAGUCAAACUCUUUAGUAGUGUGACUGUAUCAAACUCCAAGAGCUUCUUCUAUCCAAUUAUCAAUAAUAAUAAUAUAAUUAUGGAAAAACAAUUUGUAGCAUGCUUUCAUUUUCUAUUUCCUAAACUUGGUAAACAAAGUUAUUUGUCUUAAAAAUUAAAACUAAUAUUUUUCAUAAAUUACUUACCAAAAUCUAUCAAGUAAAUACUGUAGGUUAGUUAUUUAGGGUUCAUUUUUUUCACCUUGUGUUUUUUCUUAAAAAAAUUGAUGUUUAAUUAGAUUUUUUUUUCUAUUAAUGAUUGAUUUGUUUUGGUAUAUCAUUUUCGAUCCAAUAUAACAAAAUGAACAAAAUAUGUGACAUUUUUUAAAAUAAAAAAUAAAUUAAAAUAUUUACAAAGUAUAACAAAAUUUUAAAUUCUAUCAAUGAUAGAAACUGAUAUGCUACUAUCACUGUCUAUCCAUCUCACUAAUAGAAACAUGUUAAUGUCUAUCAAUGUCUAUUAUUGAUAAAAUAUGAAAAUCGUACUAUUUGUUGUAAAUAUUUUGUCAAAUUUACUAUUUUUUACCAUUCUCUCUUAAAAAAAUAUUUAUAAAUACAGUAAAUUUCAAAAUCUAUCAAAGAAAUUGGUAGAAAUAUUUAUAUAGUAUAUGUGAUAUAAAUAAACACUAAUAUGAUUGAAGUUUUUUGUGUCUACUAAUAUCUAUAUUUUUUAUAUUUCUAAAUUUGGCUAUAUUUAUAAAUAUUUUCAAGAAUUUUAGUUUAUACAUUUUCAAAUGGUUUAUCUUAUAUAAAAUUUGAAUAGACAAACAUAAAAUAAAGCACAGCACAAUAAAGAAAACGUUAUUGAAUAGCUUCCACUGAACCCAAUUUGCAAAUAUCAUUGAUAUUUGUAAUAUUCUUUUAAUGCUAUGUUUUCUUACAAGAUAACGAGAGGAUAUUUUUAUAUUUAUGUGAAACUCAUCAACUUAUAUGAAAAUGUCAAAACAACAUUUAUUUAUUUCAUACUCUUCAACUUGGUGUCUGUCAUUCUUUAAAUAGAAUUUUCAAAGCUCAUAAAAAUCUCUCGAAAUUUGAGAAGAUAUCAACGCCCUUACGGAUCAUUGGACAAGCAUAUCUCCUCUCUUCAAAAAUUAUUUUGAUAGCUCUAUUGCUCUAAGUAUUUAUGCUUUUGUUUAAUUGUACUGACUUUGGGUCUUUCUUGGACUUUCCUCUAACCCUUGCUUUUGUUUUCCCUUCUUUCCAUAUUAUCUAUUAUAUAUUAAUGAAGCAUGAAUGAUGAUGAUGCUACGAAGGUACUGUUCACAUAGUGGAGAUGAUGAGAUGUCUUAGUGCAUCUAUUGACCUAUCUCGUAUCUUUUUUAAAAAAAAAAAAACAUUUAUAUAUUUCGUAUACUAUAAUUUUGCAAUAAAUUUAAGAGACCUUUAUAAAACUAACUCCCAAACUAUGCGGGGUAGUGAUAGUUGUGAAACCUAUUUCUAAUUUGAGUAUAGAAAGUAAAAUUUGGUUAAGUAUUUUGAAAAUUUGUAUUUUGGAUAAGAGGAGACAUUUUGAAAUAAGACUUUGCGAUAAGAAGUAUGUGUUUGAAUCAAUCCACAGAAAUGAUUAAGUGAUAAAAUCUUUUAUGGUUAAGUAUAAGUUUUGUUAUUAAGAAGUUAAUUCACGAGGGAGUUUUGAGAAAAGAAUGAUUUGCAAUAGGACCUAUAAACACUUUCAAUAGAAAGAGUCUUCACGAGAAAAUGUUGAAGUUAUUCGUAGAAUGGAAAUAGGCGAGAAGUAAGGUCUGGCAAAGAAAACGUCUAUCUGAUUUGACAGGGGUUAAUGUGUAAGAUUAAAGGUUUAAGCAUGACUGAGUUAAAUAUUAAAUUUACAUGUGUAAAGUUUUAAUCAGGAACCAGCGAACUUAAAAGAGUUUAAGCAUGACUAAGUUAGUUUAAGAGCUAUGUAAAUAAAGGACCUAGUCAUUAAGUAAGCACAUAGAUUUUAUUAAAAAAAAAUUACUAAAAUGUUGUUGUUUUGCUUGACGAGAAAAAGAAAAAAAAAAACAAAGUGUUAAGUGCUACGAUGUGUUUCACAAGAAGGCUCCACAAAAGAAAAGGAAGAGAAGGAUUUUUGAUAAAGUGUGGGAAUGUUUUCUCUUAAAUGAAUUAAUUAUGUUAAAAAAUUUAUUAUAAUUUCUCUUUACUUAUUUAAAAGAAGAAUUCCAAUGAUAAGUGUUUCAAAUGAAAUUUAUAUCAAAAGUCUAUAUGUUUUCAAGUAUGAUUUAUAAUGUUAAAGUUGUUUUCUUGAGAUGAUGCUAACUUUUAUGUGCACAUAAAGAGUCAAGGUUACUAUGGGGUGUACAAGGCUACAUGGUGAUAAGAAGCUGGUUUAUGCUUUGAAAUGAGCGUAUAAAGCUUAGUUGGCCUGAGCAACAAGGACAAUCUGUAUGUUUUCGGAUGUUGUUGAUACAACAGUCUAAAUGUAGGGUAAUGAGACCAAACGUAGAAAACGAUUCGAGAUCCUUGAUGAAAAGUAUAAUUGACUAAUGGGUGUUAUUGUGAAAUGAAUCUUGAUGUGAUUCACAAGUUGAACUAAUUUUAUUGUAAAAAUGAUUAUAUACGUUUUGAUAUGUUUUGCCAAAUGAAGUGUUUAUUGAUAAACUGAUUUGUGUUGAAAUUUAUGAUUUGACGAAAAACAUUUUCAAAGAGCAUUGCAAAAAGGAUUUCAUUAAAACCUCACUAAAUCUUUUAAACUUGCAUUUUAAAUUUUAUCUUCCAAGAUUUAGCAUUUAGGCCAAUUAAAGAAGAAGGUUGAAGGGCUUGCGGCAAGUUGAGAAAGCCACGAGGCGUUAAAGAGCUUUGAUCGAUAAAUGUUAAUUAUUUGAUCAAAAUGUUGUAAUUGUUUGUUCAUACCAAACGCCUGUUAUUAAUAUAUUAAAGUGUGUGUUUCAGGUUAUGUUACUUAUUGUACUUGGCAUUUAAAGUUGAUUUUCGCUACGUUUUGAGUUUCACUUCAUAGUUUGAAAGGAGUUGAGAAUAAGCUAGGCAGUAAGACUAAUUGUAAAGUUUAAUUAAAGUUAAAUCUUGUAAAGUUUAAAGUUAAAUCAUGUAAAGUUUAAAGUUAAAUCACGUCCUAUCCGCACAACUUCCUGCAAUUUUGUUGUCGGAACAGAGUGUGACAAUAGCGAUGCACCUAAACUAAAUUUACUAUUUUGGUUGUUACAGUGGUCGAUAUGAAUAUAGAUCAAUGGAAAGAAGAAUAUCAACAUCCUCUCUAAAACUUAAAUAUAUUAAUCUAAAAUUUUCAUUUUUAUGUUAAAUUGAGAAGAAGAAGAAAAAAAAAAGAAACGAAAGCAAAAGUAUUAGGUAAUAAAAAUAUUUUGAAGAUGAAAAAAAUUUGAAGUACUCUUGAAAGCAUGAAUAAAUAAAAUUUGGUUCCACUUGUAUUGUUGAAUAUCCUCUUGUUCCUUUCCAACCAAAUGUUCCAGAUAACCCCAUCAACAGACUGUAAUUGUUGAUUUCAUAACACACAAACUUGAAAUCAACAAUUAAGUAAUAGAAGACCGUAAAGAUCGACACACAGAUAAAACAUGGUUCACUAACAGUGUAUUAGCAACUACAUCCACAAACAAAGGAAGAAAAAAUAUGGUUAGGAGAGAGUGUUUUCUAAUACAAAUGUAGCUGGAUAGAGUGCAUCCAAUGAAAUUCUCAUUGUUUUGGUUGCAGACCGAGCACGCCAACUUGGAUUAAGGCAGUGAUUUGGGAGGCUAUUUAGCAGAAUAAUCUCCACAGUGUUUCCCGGGUAGAAUUUAGCAUAAGAAAAAAUUUCACUUCUUAAUUAGAAUGGGAGAUUUUUACAAAUUAUUAAAGAUUGUCAGGACUAAGAUUUUCUAUCUUUGGAAGAUCAUUUCCUCUUUCCUCGUUAGGCUUAGGGAAAGAUGCUUUGACAUUAUCCCAUAUGCUAAUGUCCCUAUCCCGGAGGGGUCCUCUAGGCUUAAUAUCCCAACCAAUCUUUAAUCGAGCUAUUUGCGCCAAGGGAUGAAGCAAAAAGCUUGGGGAAGCCAAAGGAGAGAGGACCGUGUUGGUUCAAUUUUUUAUGCCAAAAAAGAAAGAGAAAGAAGAGAGCAAGAUGAUUAUACUAAAAAAGAAUUGCCACAGUUUCUAUUUUAAUUAUUAUCCCUGCAUAACUCUUUCACAUAUAUAUUUAUAUCCAUAGGUUGUACACAAGUGAAACUAUCCUCAAAUUUAUAUGCUAUUUAUAUAAUAUAUAUAUAUAAAACUAUAAUAGUAUACUAUAGUCAUGUAGUUCAAACUUCGUUUAUUACCUUUUUAUUUUAAAAAUAUUUUAUUAAUAGUAAAGUUCCUGUGAACAUAAAUUUCUCCAUCAUCUGCUCCUACUUGUAUAUAUCAUCUUUAAUUAAUUAUCAUUUAGUGUCCACAUGUACAGUUUAAUUCCCAAAUAGUGUUCAACAAAACGAAGUAUUAGAAAUUUUCACUUUAUUUUUCUCAUUCAUAACUCCUAAUAAGUAGAUAGGUCCACAUGUUUCAUGUUACAUCUAUUUAUUUUAAUGCGUAUUAAUUUUUGGUGGUGAAAUUCAAACUUUUAAUUAAAUUAAUUAUCUCAGUCAUGUUUAUUUACUAUAAAUAUCACUAUAAAGAUCAAUUGAGCUAAGCAUGCUUAAUAAAGUUUAAAAAAUUACUCUUCUAUACACGUGUGGCAAUAAAGAUAACAAAAUAUCACUAAAUGUAAAUAAAUGUUUGGCAAGUUUUAUUAUUUUUAUAACUUCUUUAGAAAUAUUCAAUCGAUAUGGAUAUGAUAUUGAUUUUUGUUUUAUAAAUUCGUGAAAUUGAGAAAUAUAAGCAUUUUCAUCAACAUUCGCAUCCUAGACAUUACUCCUAUAUGACUAAUGAAUUUGAACUAGCGAAACUAAUUCAUAAAACUAAAUGAACAAAUUUUAAAAAAUUUUAUUUAAAAUAACAAAUAUGAUAGAACGUAUAAUAUUUACAAAUGUAACGACAAAAUUUUACUUUCAGAUCGUGAAGGUUGUGGUAAACCUGAUAGACAUCAUAUAUUAUUUUAGGCGUUAUAUUGUAUUGAUAAUAAAAGUAAAAUUUUAUUCUAUUUAUAAAUAUUUAUAAUAAUUUUUUAUAUUCAAAACAAUUCAAAAAAUUAAGUUGGCCUAAAAUUUCUAUUUUCAAUAUUUAUGGCCAUAACAGUUAUUUAAGUGAUCGGACUCCAUGAGUUCGUAAAAUUUAAAUGAGUUAGGCAAACAAGUAUUAAUUUGUAAUUUAUUUCUUUUUCUUAAUUGCAUUUUCUUGUUUUUGACAUGUUUAUUUAUUUUUAAUCUAAGUUGAAUGAUAUGGUAUUAAAUUUGUCUUUCAUCCGUUAAUUUUUCUUCUUUUCUUAACAUACCUUCCAGUUAUUGUCGCUCCAAUCAUCCUCAUCUUUGUCUCCGUCCCUAGGCCCAGGCAUCUCCCUCAAUGCAUCCUCUAUCACAAAUAGGUUCCAAAAUAAUUACAGUCUAAGAAAAGUUCAUAGAGUAACAACAAUUUCUCUCUCAAACAUUAAACCAAUAUAUAUAUAUAUAUAUAUAUACUAGAAAGAACACGUGUUUUGUACGUGAAAAGUGUAAUUUUAAAUCUUAAAUUUAAUUUUAGUGUCACAAGUUAAAAACUAAUUAUAAACAAUAUCUUUAGUUUAUAUAUAUAUAUAUGCUAUUAUUAAAUUCAAAUCUACCAAUAAUAAGGUGACCAGAUUGGACAAUUAGAUCUUAACCAGAGAAUAUAAAGGACCUAUAUAACAAUAUAAGUUUAUGAAAUAUACAACUAUAUAACUACAAAAUAUUAUAUAAACAAGGAGAGAAAAUUAGUGAGCAACCAUAAUAUAACAUGUACUUUUUUUUCAUUGAAAAUAAAUUAAAAAAUAAGAAAAUAAAAAGAGAUCAAAUGAUGGAUAAAGAAGUCUCUCCAAUCCAAAAUAUAAUGCUAAAAGACGACCAAAAUUUAAUUAAUAGAUUAUAGAUACAUAAAUGAAAUAAAAUUAUAGUGCAUAGUAAGUAUUGUAGAAAUAUUGCUUAUUCGAGACAUAGUUGACAUCGUUGGAGGCCUCCUUGGAUUCUCUAUACAUUUGUUGAAAAACACAGAAAUUCUCCUUGUUUUACACCAAAUAAUUAUUCUCCUAUACGUGGAUUUAUUUGAUUGCUCACAAUUUCAUUAGAUUUUAUUUUAUAUAAAAAUACACAGAAAGAAAAUGAUUGGGAACGUGAACAUGAGUCACAAAGAAGAUGAGAGAGAAUGUGUGAGUGAUAGAAGGGAAGAAGAAAAUUUUAUAUAGCUUUAAAAUUGAGCUAAUGAAUAAUAAUAAUAAUAAUAAUAAUAAUAACAACAACGACAAUUAUUAUUACUAUUAUUGCAUAGAAUAGGAGAGACCAUGAAAUAUAGAUAAAUUUAUUUAGUUGUGGUUGCCAUUUUGAGUACCACCGUAAACUUUGGAUAUUGCAGGCAAGGUGGUUAAUAGAAUUAAGAUUUUAUUAUAUGUAGGUAAAUAUUUUCACCGAUUUUAAUAUUUAGAUGUUUUCUUUUAUUAUUAUUAUUAUUUAGUAUGAGUGAUCAUGUGAGUUUUUUUCUUUCUUUCUUUUUUCUAACGAAAUAUAUUGAAGAUUUUAACUAAAGAUGAAAGAAUGUGUGUAUACUAAAAAUAAGUGAGACGAUCAAUAAUAUCUGAAAGUAAUUAACUGAGAGAAUAGCUAAAGAAACAGACAAAACAAAUAAUACAGAAGACUUUGUUAGCCUAAUUUGACGAAUACCACCUAUAUCUGGAAGCUUCUUAGCUCAUAUAAGAAAUAUUAUUAUAUAAGAUUUAAAUGAGCAAGGAAAACACUUUUAAGUUAUUACAAAAACUUAAUUAAAGACCGACUUUCAUUGAAUUUGUGUUUGAAUCUUUUUGAAGAUAAACUCAAACUCCCUUGAAUUCAUUCACCACAGUUCAACUAUUUCAGUCUUCUUUCAUAUUUCUUAUCAACAGGUGCAGCGUAAAAACCACUUGCAGAACUUCAAUAAUAUUCCAUCUUCAUAUAAAGAAUGCAAUUCGACAACCUUCACAAACAAUAAUUUGAUCUUCGAAAGAGAACUUCUUUGAAAUCAAUUUUCUAUCAAUUUGCACGUCGAACUAAGCCAAUAUAGUUUAAUUAUUUAAAGAUCGAUAUAAUAUAUUUCCGGUAACUUCUUUAUGGAGAGAUAUAGAUAAAAGAUUCAUGUUAGGAAAGAAAAAUAUUUUAUCUUUAAAUAAUAUCCUAAUCUUUAAAUAAGGAAGUUAAUAAUAAAAAGAAAUUUAUUGGUGUUGUUGACAAAAAUAUCAACAUAUACGUUAACUAUUAAAAUUUAUGUUCAAGUUAUGGAAAUAAAAGCGUUAAUUACAGGAAAUGAAAAUAUGUUUGGUGAUAUUAUAAAAUUAAAAUUUGCAAAAGCAAAUGUUUGAAAUAACAUACUAAAACAAACCCAAACAUGGGGAAAAGAAAAACUACAGAACCCACUCCUUCCAUUCCCCAUCUAUUUAUUUCUCAAACUUCUACCGUUCACACAUUUAACCAAACACACAAACUUUAAACCUUUUUAUUAUUUCAUCCCAUUCUACACCUUCUCUUAGGGUUUUGCACCCUCUACCACUUCACCAGCGUAGCUGCAGCACUUGUGCCCACAUCGACCAUAUCGGCAACCUCUGCCGUAGCCACCACGGCCAC
This 8882-nucleotide long non-coding RNA is filed under the name Cucumis sativus (cucumber). RNAcentral describes it as "long non-coding RNA (CSAT_LNC002604)". Lineage: Eukaryota; Viridiplantae; Streptophyta; Magnoliopsida; Cucurbitales; Cucurbitaceae. The record is from RNAcentral.